Molecule: transfer RNA, 71 nt
Filed under: Loxodonta africana (African savanna elephant)
Lineage: Eukaryota; Metazoa; Chordata; Mammalia; Proboscidea; Elephantidae
Rfam family: tRNA
About the family: Transfer RNA (tRNA) molecules are approximately 80 nucleotides in length.
Source: Rfam by way of RNAcentral
GCAGUGGUGGCUCUGUGGUAGAACUCUCGCCUUUCAUGUGGGAGGCCCAGGUUCUAUUCCUGGGCAAUGCA